CCACGGGCGGCAGCAGUGGGGAAUAUUGGACAAUGGGCGAAAGCCUGAUCCAGCCAUGCCGCGUGUGUGAAGAAGGCCUUCGGGUUGUAAAGCACUUUCAGUGGGGAAGAAAGCCUUGGGGCUAAUACCCUCGAGGAAGGACAUCACCCACAGAAGAAGCACCGGCUAACUCCGUGCCAGCAGCCGCGGUAAUACGGAGGGUGCGAGCGUUAAUCGGAAUUACUGGGCGUAAAGCGCGCGUAGGCGGUCUGAUAAGCCGGUUGUGAAAGCCCCGGGCUCAACCUGGGAACGGCAUCCGGAACUGUCAGGCUAGAGUGCAGGAGAGGAAGGUAGAAUUCCCGGUGUAGCGGUGAAAUGCGUAGAGAUCGGGAGGAAUACCAGUGGCGAAGGCGGCCUUCUGGACUGACACUGACGCUGAGGUGCGAAAGCGUGGGUAGCAAACAGGAUUAGAUACCCGUGUAGUC
This 464-nucleotide ribosomal RNA is filed under the name Vreelandella stevensii. Its description in RNAcentral is "partial 16S ribosomal RNA". It matches the Rfam family "Bacterial small subunit ribosomal RNA", at positions 339 to 795 of the family's 1533-position model. The record is from RNAcentral. Lineage: Bacteria; Pseudomonadati; Pseudomonadota; Gammaproteobacteria; Oceanospirillales; Halomonadaceae.